This 360-nucleotide long non-coding RNA is filed under the name Musa acuminata (dwarf banana). Its description in RNAcentral is "long non-coding RNA (MACU_LNC001150)". The record is from RNAcentral. Lineage: Eukaryota; Viridiplantae; Streptophyta; Magnoliopsida; Zingiberales; Musaceae.
CGCAGGGUAAGACAAUUGGAAUCAGGAACCAAAUCAUGGAGAUGCUCGUUCUAGAUGACGAAGCUGGCGAUGGGAGACCUCCAUUAAGCCAGAGAAGCAGAGGCUUGGAGCUGCUCUGUUUGCCCGCUGCCUCCGCAAAGUAGUAAAACAGAGCUCGUCCGUUUCGAUCGUCGACGGUGACAUAACCCCCGUACUGAACGAAAUCUACUCCUGCAGGCUGGCCGGGCAGCUCGACGAUCCGGUCGUUCUCCUUCGACCCGGAAUCGGCGUACAAUCUCGACGUAAGAUCGGAGAAGGCGAACGUGUCAAAGUCGGAAGACGAAGUAACAGUAGCUCCCUUUCGGAGCUUGUCGAGGGCAU